This 392-nucleotide ribosomal RNA is filed under the name uncultured bacterium. Its description in RNAcentral is "partial 16S ribosomal RNA". It matches the Rfam family "Bacterial small subunit ribosomal RNA", at positions 523 to 918 of the family's 1533-position model. The record is from RNAcentral.
AUACGUAGGGGGCGAGCGUUGUCCGGAAUGAUUGGGCGUAAAGGGUGCGCAGGCGGCCAUUUAAGUCAGCGGUUAAAUCGUGGGGCUCAACCCCAUUCUGCCGUUGAUACUGGGUGGCUUGAUUGCGGUCGAGGUUGGCGGAAUUCGUUGUGUAGCGGUGAAAUGCAUAGAUAUGACGAAGAACACCGAUUGCGUAGGCAGCUGACCAGACCGCAAAUGACGCUCAUGCACGAAAGUGCGGGGAUCGAACAGGAUUAGAUACCCUGGUAGUCCGCACAGUAAACGAUGAAUACUUGUUUUCGGCGAUAUAAUGUCGGAGGCAAAGCGAAAGCGAUAAGUAUUCCACCUGGGGAGUACGCCGGCAACGGUGAAACUCAAAUGAAUUGACGGGG